RNAcentral lists this ribosomal RNA (408 nucleotides) under uncultured bacterium. Its description in RNAcentral is "partial 16S ribosomal RNA". It matches the Rfam family "Bacterial small subunit ribosomal RNA", at positions 28 to 526 of the family's 1533-position model. The record is from RNAcentral.
GACGAACGCUGGCGGCGUGCUUAACACAUGCAAGUCGAACGAAGUAGCGAACGGGUGAGUAACGCGUAAUCAACCUGCCCUUCAGAGGGGGACAACAGUUGGAAACGACUGCUAAUACCGCAUACUGAAGGAGGGGAUUGCGUCUGAUUAGGUAGUUGGAGGGGUACAGGCCCACCAAGCCGCUGAUCAGUAGCAGGUCUGAUAGGAUGAACGGCAACAUUGGGACUGAGACACGGCCCAGACUCCUACGGGCGGCAGCAGUGGGGAGUCUUCCGCAAUGGACGAAAGUCUGACGGAGCAACGCCGCGUGAGUGAUGACGGCCUUCGGGUUGUAAAGCUCUGUUAAUCGGGACGCGGUACCGGAAUAGAAAGCCACGGCUAACUACGUGCCAGCCGCCGCGGUAAUUC